UCGGGUGGGCGAGACCAUUCGCGACGGUCCGGCGGGGAGGGCGGGCUGUACCAUCCGCGGGAGGAGCCUCGGGUCCUCUUCGCGCGCUAGGGCGCCGCGGGGCCCGGCCAGCUCCGGGCUGCCCUCGGAGGCCGGGCCGCGCGGGCGUUUGGCGCCCAGGCCCCUACUCUGCGCAGCGCCCUCUUUUGUGUACAGGCCCGCGGCAGCCCCCCGCUUUCUUCCCCGCGGACGCGCACGUGCGUCCCGAGCGCGGCGGCUGUGCCCAGAGACCCGCCUGACCCCGGGCGCCCUUAGCUCUGGUCCGGGCUCCAGCCACCGCAGCACGCUCGCCUCUGGUCUCGCGCUCUGCCCUCAGGGACCUGUGCCCCGGUGAUCCACGCAAGGCCCGGUCUGCAGAAACCUUCCUCCUGUGUGGGAUCGCUGUCUGGAGAAGGGCUCCCGCGCUGCUCCGGGAAGAAGCAGACCCAGGACGGGAACACGUGGCUGAAAGGUGCCUGGGGGCCAUCUCCAGAAAAGAGGAAGAGCUGCAAGUGCCGUCGGUGAUCCCCUCCAGCUCCAACGUUCCUGCGAGGAGAAUGACAGCAAACACCAUCUCCCGCCAAGACAUCUUGAGUGUCUGGGGUUUUCUGUUGAGCUUUGGAUGCCGCCGCAUCGAGGAAUCUUUGCCAGACGCGUCACCCCCUCCGGCCUCCCCACAAGGGUGGGGCUUCCGGGGCAGCUCCCAGAGGCGAGAAGGCCAGUUCAGGAGUUUCCUUGGCGCCUCGAGGCACCCCCUGGGCAGCUGUUGUACAACAAGAAUUUAGCCGUCUUUGUCUCCGGUUCCGGCUCAACCCCUCACACCACACCUGAGUUUAUGCUAAUGAGGCGCUGGAAACUCAGAUGCGCGUCUGGAUCACGUGGCUGUGCUGAUGGGCGGAUGGCGCACCCAAGGGGCCUCCCGGACCUCACCUGUAGUCAUCGGGACCUGCUUUCCUGAGUUCUUCCCACCCUGGGCGCAGGAGUCACUGGCGCCCUUGGGCGAUUCCUACGGGGUCAAGUUUGAGCAGCUCAGCCCUAGAGGCAGCAGCAUCAGAGCAUCUCGAGGGCUGCAUGGUCUGACCUCAGACAGACACUGUGCACAGCCAGGUGAGGGGCACGUGGGCGUCAGGCUGGGGGAUCCGCUCUCCAGAUGCAGGUCUGUCCUCGGACUCGUGUUCACAGGCCUCUCUGAUCUGCUCCAGGGGGCAAAAAUUAGACUUUGUAAAUAGAAACUGAUUUAAGUAAGUAAAUCAACGGUAAGCAUUUUGGGGUCAAAACAGCCUCUUCACUCCCCAGGGACCCAGACUUCUAUCCUCACCAGGUCCUCCCCAUGCAGCCUUUUAUUGGUUUGUCAUCAUCACCCCUGCUGACGACGAGUGAUCUCCCUGGGAGUAUCCCAAGAACUGCGGUGGCUGCCCCGUGCUUUGGCACAGAAUUCCUCUCUGAGUCAGAGCCCGAGGCCGUUAGCGCGGGGGAACAGCUGCGAGGGCCACACCUCCUCGAGUCAUUUGAAAAUCUUAUGAUGAAUAAAAACGAUCCAUGACACAGACUUAUGCAUUAUAUAUUAGCCUAAUACCUCUGCAAUUACACCACCAACAGUCUUUUGUUGCACACAUGUUUUCCUAAGGACGCUCCGACUCCAGUAGUAAAACGUUGACUAUCCAGUGACACUACAUAAAAUUUCCUCUUUCUGUGUUGUCAAAUCCUUAAUAACAAUGACAAGUCUAACAUUCAGUGAAAGGAGGAGAGCGAGGUGGAAACCCCAGGAAUGCUAAAAGUGUGGAAAAGAGAAUUAUGCGUUUUAGAUUAAAUAACCAAAAGACUGAGCAGAAAUACAGGGUCAAAAGAUGCUGAAAAAGAAACCUUAAAUAUGGUUCAAGCACCACAAGCUCUUUAAGCUGUCCCCUGCGUGCAGGUGACCUUCGUUUGCAGCAGUACACCUGGUGAUGCCAUCACGAUGCUUUAAAGGACCCGGUGGCACAGUGAGAACGGGGAAGGUGGGAACUGAAAGCCAUGAGCCAGAGAAGGACCUGCUUAACUAUUACAUUUCAAAUGGAUAAACAAUAAGGUCCUGCUGUAGAGCACAGGGAACUGUAUCCAGUCUCCUGGGAUAAACCAUCAUGGAAAAGAAUAUGAAAAAUGAUGUGUA
Delphinapterus leucas (beluga whale) is the source of this 2167-nucleotide non-coding RNA. The record is from RefSeq and is a predicted model, not a curated record. NCBI's taxonomy places the organism in Eukaryota, Metazoa, Chordata, Mammalia, Artiodactyla, Monodontidae.